This 253-nucleotide ribosomal RNA is filed under the name uncultured bacterium. RNAcentral's name for it is "partial 16S ribosomal RNA". It matches the Rfam family "Bacterial small subunit ribosomal RNA", at positions 524 to 776 of the family's 1533-position model. The record is from RNAcentral.
UACAGAGGGGGCAAGCGUUGUUCGGAAUUACUGGGCGUAAAGGGCGCGUAGGCGGCCUGCUAAGUCGAACGUGAAAUCCCCGGGCUCAACCCGGGAACUGCGUCCGAUACUGGCAGGCUUGAAUCCGGGAGAGGGAUGCGGAAUUCCAGGUGUAGCGGUGAAAUGCGUAGAUAUCUGGAGGAACACCGGUGGCGAAGGCGGCUAUCUGGACAGAAACUGACGCUGAGGCGCGAAAGCUAGGGGAGCAAACAGG